Molecule: small RNA, 154 nt
Filed under: Hydrogenibacillus schlegelii
Lineage: Bacteria; Bacillati; Bacillota; Bacilli; Thermicanales; Thermicanaceae
Description: c-di-AMP sequence
Rfam family: c-di-AMP riboswitch aptamer (ydaO/yuaA leader)
About the family: This family represents a conserved RNA structure found upstream of the ydaO and yuaA genes in Bacillus subtilis and related genes in other bacteria. The ydaO/yuaA element is thought to act as a genetic "off" switch for the ydaO and yuaA genes in its native state.
Source: Rfam by way of RNAcentral
AUCGACAACCGGCCUAAUCCCGGAAGGCAGGGCCUGCCCCCCUUCCGGGAGCGGGGGACCCAACGGAUUGGGGUUAAUCCGGGGCAACCCGGAGGGGCGUGAUCUCUGCCGUCCUACCCGUCAGCUAACCCCGUCGGCCAGGCAGAGAAGCUUC